AUACAGGGUGACAGCCCCGUACACAAAAAUGCACAUGCUGUGAGCUCGAUGAGUAGGGCGGGACACGUGGUAUCCUGUCUGAAUAUGGGGGGACCAUCCUCCAAGGCUAAAUACUCCUGACUGACCGAUAGUGAACCAGUACCGUGAGGGAAAGGCGAAAAGAACCCCGGCGAGGGGAGUGAAAAAGAACCUGAAACCGUGUACGUACAAGCAGUGGGAGCACAGAGCAAUCUGUGUGACUGCGUACCUUUUGUAUAAUGGGUCAGCGACUUAUAUUCUGUAGCAAGGUUAACCGAAUAGGGGAGCCGAAGGGAAACCGAGUCUUAACUGGGCGUUAAGUUGCAGGGUAUAGACCCGAAACCCGGUGAUCUAGCCAUGGGCAGGUUGAAGGUUGGGUAACACUAACUGGAGGACCGAACCGACUAAUGUUGAAAAAUUAGCGGAUGACUUGUGGCUGGGGGUGAAAGGCCAAUCAAACCGGGAGAUAGCUGGUUCUCCCCGAAAGCUAUUUAGGUAGCGCCUCGUGAAUUCAUCUCCGGGGGUAGAGCACUGUUUCGGCAAGGGGGUCAUCCCGACUUACCAACCCGAUGCAAACUGCGAAUACCGGAGAAUGUUAUCACGGGAGACACACGGCGGGUGCUAACGUCCGUCGUGAAGAGGGAAACAACCCAGACCGCCAGCUAAGGUCCCAAAGUCAUGGUUAAGUGGGAAACGAUGUGGGAAGGCCCAGACAGCCAGGAUGUUGGCUUAGAAGCAGCCAUCAUUUAAAGAAAGCGUAAUAGCUCACUGGUCGAGUCGGCCUGCGCGGAAGAUGUAACGGGGCUAAACCAUG
RNAcentral lists this ribosomal RNA (832 nucleotides) under Escherichia coli. RNAcentral describes it as "partial 23S ribosomal RNA". It matches the Rfam family "Bacterial large subunit ribosomal RNA", at positions 357 to 1191 of the family's 2925-position model. Lineage: Bacteria; Pseudomonadati; Pseudomonadota; Gammaproteobacteria; Enterobacterales; Enterobacteriaceae. The record is from RNAcentral.